Molecule: unclassified non-coding RNA, 339 nt
Filed under: soil metagenome
Description: partial contains 5.8S ribosomal RNA, internal transcribed spacer 2, and large subunit ribosomal RNA
Rfam family: 5.8S ribosomal RNA (bases 1-120)
Source: RNAcentral
GAUGAAGAACGCAGCGAAAUGCGAUAAGUAGUGUGAAUUGCAGAAUUCAGUGAAUCAUCGAAUCUUUGAACGCACAUUGCGCCCCUUGGUAUUCCAUGGGGCAUGCCUGUUCGAGCGUCAUCUACACCCUCAAGCACUGCUUGGUGAUGGGCGUCUGUCCCGCCUCCGCGCGCGGACUCGCCCCAAAGGCAUUGGCAGCGGUCCUGACCGCCUCUCGCGCAGCACAUUUGCGCUUCUCGAGGCAUCUGAGGCCUGCGUCCACGAAGCCCAUCUUUAUUUUUUCGACCUCGGAUCAGGUAGGGAUACCCGCUGAACUUAAGCAUAUCAAUAAGCGGAGGA